UAACUAUAACGGGCCUAAGGUAGCAAAUUUCCUUGUCGUCCUAAUAACGACCUGCAUGAAACAUAGAACGAUUCGAUAGCUGUCUUGCACACACAUCAUGGUAAAAUAUUCAUCAGUACAAAGAAUAUGCUGGUGAGCUAAGACCACACUAAAGGACAAAAAGACCCUCUGAAGCUUUAUAGGGAUAAAAUCUAGUACACAUCCAGGCGUUUGUAUACAAGGUGAUGGCCCAAGAAGUCCUUCCCAGUAUUUAAAUGCUAUCUUAAUGAGCUUAAAAUUAAUCUACCAACACCAAGCUACUCUACGGAUAACAGGCUUAAUUUCGGCAAUACGAAAGCUCACAUUAUCAAGAAAAAUGCACCUCGAUGUCGGCUUAUCAUCACCAAAAUCUGUAGCUAGCUUAUUGGUGGGAGUGCUCAUCCCGUAAAUCGGUACGUGAGCUGGGUUCAAUACGAUGG
This 458-nucleotide ribosomal RNA is filed under the name Symbiodinium sp. clade A. RNAcentral's name for it is "partial 23S ribosomal RNA". It matches the Rfam family "Bacterial large subunit ribosomal RNA", at positions 1937 to 2622 of the family's 2925-position model. The record is from RNAcentral. Lineage: Eukaryota; Dinophyceae; Suessiales; Symbiodiniaceae.